GACGAACGCUGGCGGCGUGCUUAACACAUGCAAGUCGAACGGAAAGGCCCUGCUUUUGUGGGGUGCUCGAGUGGCGAACGGGUGAGUAACACUUGAGUAACCUGCCCUUGACUUUGGGAUAACUUCAGGAAACUUGGGCUAAUACCGGAUAGGAGCUCCUGCUGCAUGGUGGGGGUUGGAAAGUUUCGGCGGUUGGGGAUGGACUCGCGGCUUAUCAGCUUGUUGGUGGGGUAGUGGCUUACCAAGGCUUUGACGGGUAGCCGGCCUGAGAGGGUGACCGGCCAAAUUGGGAAUGAGAGACGGCACAGACUCCUACGGGAGGCAGCAGUGGGGAAUAUUGCACAAUGGGCGGAAGCCUGAUGCAGCAACGCCGCGUGCGGGAUGACGGACUUCGGGUUGUAAACCGCUUUCGCCUGUGAAGAAGAGGGAGUGAAGGUAAUGGGUAAAGAAGAACCGGAUAACUAAGUG
This 468-nucleotide ribosomal RNA is filed under the name uncultured bacterium. RNAcentral describes it as "partial 16S ribosomal RNA". It matches the Rfam family "Bacterial small subunit ribosomal RNA", at positions 28 to 507 of the family's 1533-position model. The record is from RNAcentral.